RNAcentral lists this ribosomal RNA (433 nucleotides) under uncultured bacterium. Its description in RNAcentral is "partial 16S ribosomal RNA". It matches the Rfam family "Bacterial small subunit ribosomal RNA", at positions 29 to 507 of the family's 1533-position model. The record is from RNAcentral.
AACGAACGCUGGCGGCAGGCCGAACACAGGCGAGGCGAACGAGACGGGGGGGGCGAGGGGCGCAGGGGGGGGGAAGGAGGGGGAAGCAGCAAGGGGGGAAGGAAGAACAGAGGGAGAGGACGGCGAAGACCGGAGGAGGACGGAAGGCCAAAGAUGUAUCGCCCAAGGAUGAGCCCGCGUCCGAUUAGCUAGUUGGUGAGGUAAAGGCUCACCAAGGCGACGAUCCUUAGCUGGUCUGAGAGGAUGAUCAGCCACACUGGGACUGAGACACGGCCCAGACUCCUACGCGAGGCAGCAGUGGGGAAUAUUGGACAAUGGGCGAAAGCCUGACCCCGCAAUGCCGCGUGCGUGCUGACGGCCUUCGGGUUGUAAAGCUCUCUUACCCGGGAUGAUAAUGACAGUACCGGGAGAAUAAGCUCCGGCUAACUACGUG